GCAAGUCGAACGGGGUGCUUCGGCACCUAGUGGCGGACGGGUGAGUAACGCGUGAGAAUCUGCCCUUAGGACGGGGACAACAGCUGGAAACGGCUGCUAAUACCCGAUGUGCCGAGAGGUGAAACAUUUAUGGCCUGAGGAUGAGCUCGCGUCUGAUUAGCUAGUUGGUGGGGUAAGAGCCUACCAAGGCGACGAUCAGUAGCUGGUCUGAGAGGAUGAUCAGCCACACUGGGACUGAGACACGGCCCAGACUCCUACGGGAGGCAGCAGUGGGGAAUUUUCCGCAAUGGGCGCAAGCCUGACGGAGCAAGACCGCGUGCGGGAGGACGGCCUAUUGGUUGUAAACCGCUUUUGAUAGGGAAGAAGCUCUGACGGUACCUAUCGAAUCAGCAUCGGCUAACUCCGUGCCAGCAGCCGCGGUAAUACGGAGGAUGCAAGCGUUAUCCGGAAUUAUUGGGCGUAAAGCGUCCGUAGGUGGUUGUUCAAGUCUGCUGUUAAAGCGUGCGGCUUAACCGCAUACCAGCAGUGGAAACUGGACGACUAGAGUGCGGUAGGGGUCAGGGGAAUUCCCAGUGUAGCGGUGAAAUGCGUAGAUAUUGGGAAGAACACCGGUGGCGAAAGCGCCUGACUGGACCUGCACUGACACUGAGGGACGAAAGCUAGGGGAGC
RNAcentral lists this ribosomal RNA (669 nucleotides) under uncultured bacterium. RNAcentral's name for it is "bacterial SSU rRNA". It matches the Rfam family "Bacterial small subunit ribosomal RNA", at positions 57 to 769 of the family's 1533-position model. The record is from RNAcentral.